Molecule: non-coding RNA, 91 nt
Organism: Podarcis lilfordi (Lilford's wall lizard)
Lineage: Eukaryota; Metazoa; Chordata; Lepidosauria; Squamata; Lacertidae
Source: the annotation of a GenBank genome assembly
GUGCUCGCUUCAGCAGCACAUAUACUAAAAUUGGAAUGAUACAGAGAAGAUUAGCAUGGCCCCUACUUUUUAGGAGGCAAAAAGUGUGUCU